Molecule: non-coding RNA, 1253 nt
Organism: Schizosaccharomyces pombe (fission yeast)
Lineage: Eukaryota; Fungi; Ascomycota; Schizosaccharomycetes; Schizosaccharomycetales; Schizosaccharomycetaceae
Source: the annotation of a GenBank genome assembly
UUUUGGAAAUGUGAUCUGGUUAAACGAAGUAUCAAAUGUACAAUAAAUUAAAAGAAAGUAAACAUCAGUUUGGUGAAAUGGGAACAGAUGAAUUUCUGCAAUGUAUCAAAAUUUACUCAUUAAUGCAAGUUAUGUGUAAUCGUAGUAUUCACCAUCCACUAACCUGUAGAAACCGAUUUGGUGUUAGAAGAUGGAGGAUGAUCUGCCUUUUCUGAGACUGUUUCACGUGGGAUUUCCUUUGAAGGAGUGGCUUCUGCUUGCUCGUUCUGACUUGGCGUGUUUUGACGAAGAGUAUGGAGCUCACGUUCAACUUUAAGAAUGACUUUGUGGAGUUCGUCAAAAUCCUUUUCGGUACUAUCAAUUUCCUCAGUCGAAGAUUGGAGUUCAUUCUUUUUCUUCUGUAAAACAAACUGCUUUUCCAUGAUUUCGUUAAUACGAACGAUUUCAUGUUGUAAACCAAGAAUCGCUUCAGCAACUUCAUCUCGUCUAUUCUUUUCCUUUCUACGAGCCCUCCAUGUUUCAAAUAAAAUGGCUCCUCCAGCAACAGUACUGUAAAUUGUUAGCAAGAGAAGAACAUUGUGACAAGUUGGAUUUCGUAGCUCCUUCACAAUGUGCCGUAUUAAGCAUUGUGGAGAGGAAGUACGUCAAAUCGUAUUAAUUUUCAUACAAUAUAAAAGUUUCUGAUAAAAAUGUUGCACCAGCAUCGACUGCUUUGGCAUCGUUUAAAGGUCGUAAUCGUACAUUAGCUCCUCCACUUUUAGCUCUGUUAAUUCCUGUUAUUCUAAAUUCCGCGCGAUGCAUCCAUUGAGCAAAUUCAAUACAUGCCUAUAUAGAAAUUUCGUUAGUAAUGCUAUAAGAUUCUCUUUAUCAUCUAUUUUACUGAUUUAUACCUUUCGGAAAGCCUUGUGCUCUUUAGCUUGGGCUUUGAUUGUAUUGGCAAUCGGUUUGGAUAAUGUUCUUACUAACAAGCUUCCGAUUUUUAAGGCUAGAGAAGACAUUGGAUUGUAGAGAAAUGUUAAUGGAUACCAGAACUUCAAAAAUAUUCGAGGGGGAAUAAACCCGCAAAGGAUUUCAAAUUACCGACUAAAAGUACUACCACCUCAAUUAAAUAGAGGUAUAAAAGAAAGAAAUCUCCGAUAAAAUUAGAAUGCAGAUAUAAGCGUGUAACAAUAGCUAGGAUAUUUAUGCAAGGUCGAAGAUAUACUCUUCCGUUAAUCAAUAGCAAUAUUUAAAACCGCAACACCAAGUGCGUG